AUAUUAAAGUUGUUGCGGUAAAAAAGCUCGUAGUUGGAUUUCUGUUGAGGACGACCGGUCGUACCAUGUACGCGCAUCUGGCUCGGCCUCGGCAUCCUCUCGAUAGACGUUUCUGCGCUUGAUUGCGUGGAACGGAUUUCGGGACUUUUACUUUGAGGAAAUUAGAGUGUUCACGGCAGGCUAUCGCCAGAAUACAUUAGCAUGGAAUAAUAUUAUAGGAUCUCGGUUCUAUUUUGUUGGUUUCUAGACCCGGGGUAAUGAUUAAUAGGGACAAUUGGGGGCAUUUGUAUCAACACGUCAGAGGUGGAAUUCUUGGAUUGUGUUGCGACAAACUACUGCGAAAGCAUUUGCCAAGGAUGUUUUCAUUGAUCAAGAACGAAAGUAAGGGGAUCGAAGACGAUUAGAUACUGUCGUAGUCUUUACCAUAAACUAUGCCAACUAGAGAUGGGGCAUCGUUCACUUACGACUUGCUCCGCAUCUUAUGAGAUAUCAAAGUCUAUGGGUUCCGGGGGGAGUAUGGUCGCAAGU
RNAcentral lists this ribosomal RNA (528 nucleotides) under uncultured eukaryote. RNAcentral describes it as "SSU rRNA". It matches the Rfam family "Eukaryotic small subunit ribosomal RNA", at positions 601 to 1136 of the family's 1831-position model. The record is from RNAcentral.